Beta vulgaris subsp. vulgaris (sugar beet) is the source of this 297-nucleotide long non-coding RNA. RefSeq lists it as uncharacterized. The transcript is spliced from 2 exons. The record is from RefSeq and is a predicted model, not a curated record. Lineage: Eukaryota; Viridiplantae; Streptophyta; Magnoliopsida; Caryophyllales; Amaranthaceae.
GGAAAGCUUUAGGAGUAGUUAACCAAGUGGAUUAAGGAAUUUCGUGGCUUUAAGCAUCCUUAGUUAAGAGUGAAAUAUUGUUGCAGGUUUGGUGUUGUGAGCUCAGGAUUCUGAAGUGAAGCAAUAUAAAGAUGUCGUCGUAGCUUAUGGAUUGAGUUUGUAUCUAGAUAAUGUAUUUGAGAUUAGAUAUUUAUAUUUCGUUGUAUACAAUAUUUGGGAAUAUUAGUCGAGAUAUCGGUGUAAUUGAAGUCUUAUAUAAAGGAUUUUGUUUUGUGGGCCAAUAACCCACAAGUUUCA